GUACAACUCGCGCUUUAUACACUAUAAAAUAAUCAAAUCAUAUUCCAUUUGUUACAUGUAAAGGGAGAAAAAUAUGACUAAAACUCUCAAAUUUAUAUGUAUUAUGAUUUUAUUUCUUUCCCUAUUCCUUGUUGCAGAAAGUUUUGCCACGGGUAUGCCAUGUAAGACUGAUAAAGAAUGUCCAAACACUUCGACUCACAAGUAUAAAUGCAUUAACGAUGACUGUUUUUGCUUUUAUAUCUAUUGGCCAUUGGGAAAUUCUUUGGUUUAGUUAUACCAGAGUGACACAAUAAAUUGCAUGAAUAUCAUAUAUUUCGAGAGUAUACUCAAGCCAUAUAGGGAUUAAUAAUGUGUUUUUACACUAAAAAAUCUAUGCAAUGUAACUUUUGCUAGAUUAUUCUACGGUUUCCAUUCAUCUACUGUGAUCAUGGAACCUAAUAAUUAUAUCUUUUAUUUAUUUAUUUUGUACUCUAUGAACCUUGCAAUUAACUAUGGCUUAUUUUUAGCAUUCUCAUUUGCUAAGAAUCUAGAAGUGGCCUCUUGGAAGAUUCAACUUAAGGAUCUUCCCUCCUCGAUCUGGACAACUUUCAUGAAAUCAAUCCCUGCUCGGAGACCUUUCUUGAUUAGAUAUGUUUUCAUUUUUUCUUA
Molecule: long non-coding RNA, 648 nt
Organism: Medicago truncatula (barrel medic)
Lineage: Eukaryota; Viridiplantae; Streptophyta; Magnoliopsida; Fabales; Fabaceae
Exons: 2
Source: RefSeq, a predicted model, not a curated record